GUGCCAGCCGCCGCGGUAAUACGUAGGUGGCGAGCGUUGUCCGGAAUUACUGGGUGUAAAGGGCGCGUAGGCGGGGAUGUAAGUCAGGUGUGAAAUACCGGGGCUCAACCCCGGGGGUGCAUCUGAAACUAUGUCUCUUGAGUGCUGGAGAGGAAAGCGGAAUUCCUAGUGUAGCGGUGAAAUGCGUAGAGAUUAGGAGGAACACCAGUGGCGAAGGCGGCUUUCUGGACAGUAACUGACGCUGAGGCGCGAAAGCGUGGGGAGCAAACAGGAUUAGAUACCCUGGUAGUCCACGCCGUAAACGAUGGAUACUAGGUGUAGGGGGUGAUUAACCCUCUGUGCCGGAGUUAACACAAUAAGUAUCCCACCUGGGGAGUACGGCCGCAAGGUUGAAACUCAAAUAAAUUGACGG
This 412-nucleotide ribosomal RNA is filed under the name uncultured bacterium. RNAcentral describes it as "bacterial SSU rRNA". It matches the Rfam family "Bacterial small subunit ribosomal RNA", at positions 505 to 916 of the family's 1533-position model. The record is from RNAcentral.